GUGGGCGUGGUGUAGUGGUUAACACGACUGGCUGUGACCCGGUAGAUCGAGGGUUCGAUCCCCUCCGCCCACCCCA
Molecule: transfer RNA, 76 nt
Filed under: Chloroflexota bacterium
Lineage: Bacteria; Bacillati; Chloroflexota
Also listed under: 1 other name
Description: Chloroflexi bacterium tRNA-His
Rfam family: tRNA
About the family: Transfer RNA (tRNA) molecules are approximately 80 nucleotides in length. Their secondary structure includes four short double-helical elements and three loops (D, anti-codon, and T loops).
Source: RNAcentral